GAUGAACGCUGGCGGCGUGCCUAAUACAUGCAAGUCGAGCGAACGGACGAGAAGCUUGCUUUUCUGAUGUUAGCGGCGGACGGGUGAGUAACGCGUGGAUAACCUACCUAUAAGACUGGGAUAACUUCGGGAAACCGGAGCUAAUACCGGAUAAUAUUUUGAACCGCAUGGUUCAAAAGUGAAAGACGGUCUUGCUGUCACUUAUAGAUGGAUCCGCGCUGCAUUAGCUAGUUGGUAAGGUAACGGCUUACCAAGGCAACGAUGCAUAGCCGACCUGAGAGGGGGAUCGGCCACACUGGAACGGAGACACGGUCCAGACUCCUACGGGAGGCAGCAGUAGGGAAUCUUACGCAAUGGGCGAAAGCCUGACGGAGCAACGCCGCGUGAGUGAUGAAGGUCUUCGGAUCGUAAAAAUCUGUUAUUAGGGAAGAACAGAUGUGUAAGUAACUGUGCACAUCUUGACGGUACCUAAUCAGAAAGCCACGGCUAACUACGUG
Molecule: ribosomal RNA, 497 nt
Filed under: uncultured bacterium
Lineage: Bacteria
Description: partial 16S ribosomal RNA
Rfam family: Bacterial small subunit ribosomal RNA
Source: RNAcentral